CCUACGGGGGGCAGCAGUGGGGAAUAUUGCGCAAUGGGGGAAACCCUGAUGCAGCGACGCCGCGUGAGUGAAGAAGUAAUUCGUUAUGUAAAGCUCUAUCAGCAGGGAAGAAAAUGACGGUACCUGAGUAAGAAGCACCGGCUAACUACGUGCCAGCAGCCGCGGUAAUACGUAGGGGGCAAGCGUUAUCCGGAUUUACUGGGUGUAACGGGAGCGUAGACGGCAGUGCAAAUCUGGAGUGAAAGGCGGGGGCUCAACCCACGGACUGCUCUGGAAACUGUACGGCUGGAGUGCAUGAGAGGUAAGUGGAAUUCCUAGUGUAGCGGUGAAAUGCGUAGAUAUCAGGAGGAACACCAGUGGCGAAGGCGGCUAACUGGACUGUAACUGACGUUGAGGCGCGAAAGCGUGGGGAGCAAACAGGAUUAGAUACCCGUGUAGUC
RNAcentral lists this ribosomal RNA (440 nucleotides) under uncultured bacterium. Its description in RNAcentral is "partial 16S ribosomal RNA". It matches the Rfam family "Bacterial small subunit ribosomal RNA", at positions 338 to 795 of the family's 1533-position model. The record is from RNAcentral.